RNAcentral lists this long non-coding RNA (555 nucleotides) under Oryza sativa Indica Group (long-grained rice). Its description in RNAcentral is "lncRNA OsMH63_03G031610". The record is from RNAcentral. RNAcentral also lists the same sequence under 2 other names. Lineage: Eukaryota; Viridiplantae; Streptophyta; Magnoliopsida; Poales; Poaceae.
CGGAGCGAGGAGGACGGUGGCGGCGCGGAUCUGGAGCGGCGGCGGCGCGAGAGGAGAACGGCGGCGGGCGGAUUCUGGAGUGGAGCUGCGCGCGCGUCCUCGUGCUCAUGCUCGUGCUCGUCGUCCUUGGAGCAGUCAUCGGAGCGGUCAUGGCGGGCGGCGGCGGCACAUCCUCGCCCCGCUCUCCUCACCGACGGCGCUCUCCUCACCGCCUGCCCCAACGCCAAGCGGCGGCGGCAUCCUCGGGACCUGGCGGCGCGGAUCUGGAGCAUCCUCGCCGUCCUCCUCAACGACGGCGGCGGUGGUGGCGCGUCCUCGCCCGCCCUCACCGGUGACGGUGGCGCGGAUUGGAGCUGGAGCCGGAGUCGUCGGAGUAGAAGGAGUUCCUGCUCGGGAAUCAAGGUCGGCCUCCUGCACGGCGCGCCGUGGGACGCGCGCCACGCGGAGCGUAAAGGUGGGUGUGCCUUGCUUCCGUGCAGCGAGCGCCGUCCGCCGCCGAGGCGUCGGCUGCGCGGUUGCGUGGCGCCGUCGCGCCUCGCGUUCUGGAAGACGUGA